UGAGUAACCUGCCCUUCACUCUGGGAUAACUCCGGGAAACCGGGGCUAAUACUGGAUAUGACCUACUCGGGCAUCCGAUGUGGGUGGAAAGAUUUAUUGUG
Molecule: ribosomal RNA, 101 nt
Filed under: uncultured bacterium
Lineage: Bacteria
Description: partial 16S ribosomal RNA
Source: RNAcentral